This 253-nucleotide ribosomal RNA is filed under the name uncultured bacterium. RNAcentral describes it as "partial 16S ribosomal RNA". It matches the Rfam family "Bacterial small subunit ribosomal RNA", at positions 524 to 776 of the family's 1533-position model. The record is from RNAcentral.
UACGUAGGGUGCAAGCGUUAAUCGGAAUUACUGGGCGUAAAGCGUGCGUAGACGGUAGCGUAAGUCGGGUGUGAAAGCCCCGGGCUCAACCUGGGAAUGGCAUUCGAGACUGCUCUGCUAGGGUGCGGAAGAGGGGAGCGGAAUUUCCGGUGUAGCGGUGAAAUGCGUAGAUAUCGGAAGGAACACCAGUGGCGAAAGCGGCUCCCUGGUCCAGCACCGACGUUCAGGCACGAAAGCGUGGGGAGCAAACAGG